Long non-coding RNA from Gadus morhua (Atlantic cod), 2325 nucleotides. The record is from Ensembl. NCBI's taxonomy places the organism in Eukaryota, Metazoa, Chordata, Actinopteri, Gadiformes, Gadidae.
GGGAGAGCCGCCUCUGGACGUCCUACUGCGGCGGCGGGCCCCUGGCGGCCCCCCUGGAGGGCCUCUACCUGGGCCUGCUGGCCCGGCUGGAGAGGGAGCACGGGGGGCAGCUGGUGAGGCGCGUGGGCGCGCUCAUGGCCGUCUCGCGGGGAGGAUGCGAGGAAGAGGAGUUACUAGGCCUUUUGGCCAAAGACAGAAAGGUCCUCCAGGAGAUAGCCUCGUCCCGCUCCUCCACGACCAGCCCUUCCCGGGUGCCCUACAUCCUGUGGGCCCGGCUAAAGCGUGCGCUGGGCCCCCACCUCAGCGAGGUCCGGACGGACGGGACGUGGGUGUACCGCUGGAGUCACUCCGCCCUGGGCCGCGUCUGCGCUGACCGCUACCUCAAGACGGAGGACUCCCGCAAGGCCGCGCACGCCGACUACGCCGAGUACUACGGCGAGAGAACGCGCCACGCCGCCACGUUCCAGCCGCUGGCGUGGCGGCGGGUGGCGGGGCACGAGGAGGAGGAGGAGGAGGAGGAGGGGGAUGAGGGCGAGGGAGAGGGCGUGGCCGAGAGCCAGGUGUUCAACCUGAGGAAGCUCCACGGCCUGCCGUUCCACCUGGUCCGCUCGGGGCAGAUCGUGCCCUUCAUGACGCAGUGCGUGUUCCGCUAUGACUUCCUGCUGCACAAGCUGCAGGGCCUGUCGGUCCUGGACGUGGAGGAGGAGCUGAAGUACGCCGUGCUGCCCGACAAGGUGAUUGCCGAUGUGGAGGUCCUAGCUGGGGCGCUGGCGCUGUCCCGUGCCGUGUUGGAGGAGGACCCCUGUCAACUGGCCUCCCAGAUCAUAGGACGCCUGGGACAAAUACUGGCUGAAGACAAACCAGUGGCCCCAGGUGACCCACUGAAGUUCAGCUACCUCCACGCCCUGCUGAGUCAGUGUGCCCACUCCUCUCUGCCAGUCCUGGUGCCCUCCUACACCUGCCUUCUGCCCCCUGGUGGCCUCACACACCACCUCCUGGCAGGUAAACACCCCCAAGACUGUGGCUGGACGUGAGUUUGAGACGGUUUAAGUGUUAAUAGUUCGACCGUUCUGCCCAAGAACACGGUACGCAAUCCCGUCCAUUGUUUUGUGGUUUAGACACAUCCCCCAGCUUCUAGUCUGAGUAAAUAAGUUGGAGUAUACAAGUCCAUGGAUUCCAUCCAUGUUUUUAUCAACUCCAAACAAAUCUGGAUGAAAAAGUGACUGGGCAAUGAUCAGGGGCCAAAAUCGACACCUAGCCACCAGCCAAUGGCAGUUAAGAUUCAGCCAUGUGGCAUGUAAGAAAUAUCUGGCCGCUGUAUUUUUGCUGGCCCAGUCGAUUUUUCCACCCUGGCAGAUGAAAGACAUUGUGUUUGUUAAUUCUGGACCCUGGGUAUGAUGAGUGAAAUUGGUAUAGCGGACUGCGAAGGAUUUGGCUCCAAUACUUCGGCCCCCCCUGUAGUCACUCCUGCACCCCCCCCAUCACAGGUCACUCGUCCCCCAUCACGGCCCUCGGAGGGGGGCGGGGGGCCUCGGUGGCGGUCUCUUGCGCGGCGGACGGAGACAUCCAUCUGUGGGACCUGGAGAAGAGGGGCGUGGUCAGGACCCUGGGGGGCGCGGCGGCCGACCACCUGACCCUGGGGCUGGACGACAGCGUGCUCGUCGUCUGCGCGGGACAGAGCCUGCAGGUCGACAGUUUAUUCUGAUGUGUUUUUAAAAAGGCGUUGUAGGUACGAUUCUGGAGUUGUGAAGACAGCAAGAGAACAUCGCCAAUUUCGGCUCAUCAAAAAGCUAUGGUUUGGGGGAGUGAUAACUGUUAUAUACACACACACAUUUAUGCUAACUGACACUGUCUUGUGACCAUCCAGGUGAGAGAAAUAGAAACUGGGCGGGUCAUGUACUCCGAGGAGGACUCGGUGGACGUUCCCAUAGUGACCACCACGUGUGAGGGACAGCUGCUGGUGGCGUUCUACGACGGAAGUCGUCUUGUCAAGGUUAUGGUAUCGCCGUCGUAGAUUAUUCAACACCAUAGCUACUACUCCUACAAUGCCUAGUAUUACUACUGCUACUUUAACUCAACCACUACUGCUACUUUAACAUUACCCCUACUGCUACUUUAACAUUACCACUACUGCUACUUUAACAUUACCACUGCUUUACCAUUACCCCUACUGCUACUUUAACAUUACCACUGCUUUACCAUUACCCCUACUGCUACUUUAACAUUACCACUGCUUUACCAUUACCCCUACUGCUACUUUAACAUUACCACUGCUUUACCAUUACUCCUACUGCUACUUUAACAUUACCACUGCUUUACCAUUAC